GACGAACGCUGGCGGCGUGCUUAACACAUGCAAGUCGAACGGAAAGGCCCUGCUUUUGUGGGGUGCUCGAGUGGCGAACGGGUGAGUAACACGUGAGUAACCUGCCCUUGACUUUGGGAUAACUUCAGGAAACUGGGGCUAAUACCGGAUAGGAGCUCCUGCUGCAUGGUGGGGGUUGGAACGUUUCGGCGGUUGGGGAUGGACUCGCGGCUUAUCAGCUUGUUGGUGGGGUAGUGGCUUACCAAGGCGUUGACGGGUAGCCGGCCUGAGAGGGUGACCGGCCACAUUGGGACUGAGAUACGGCCCAGACUCCUACGGGAGGCAGCAGUGGGGAAUAUUGCACAAUGGGCGGAAGCCUGAUGCAGCAACGCCGCGUGCGGGAUGACGGCCUUCGGGUUGUAAACCGCUUUCGCCUGUGACGAAGCGUGAGUGACGGUAAUGGGUAAAGAAGCACCGGCUAACUACGUG
RNAcentral lists this ribosomal RNA (468 nucleotides) under uncultured bacterium. RNAcentral's name for it is "partial 16S ribosomal RNA". It matches the Rfam family "Bacterial small subunit ribosomal RNA", at positions 28 to 507 of the family's 1533-position model. The record is from RNAcentral.